UGGGGAAUUUUGGACAAUGGGGGCAACCCUGAUCCAGCCAUGCCGCGUGUGUGAAGAAGGCCUUCGGGUUGUAAAGCACUUUCGGCCGGAACGAAAUCGCGCGGGUGAAUAUCCCGCGUGGAUGACGGUACCGGAAGAAGAAGCACCGGCUAACUACGUGCCAGCAGCCGCGGUAAUACGUAGGGUGCGAGCGUUAAUCGGAAUUACUGGGCGUAAAGUGUGCGCAGGCGGCCUCGCAAGUCAAGUGUGAAAGCCCCGGGCUUAACCUGGGAACUGCGCUUGAAACUACGAGGCUCGAGUGUGGCAGAGGAAGGUGGAAUUCCACGUGUAGCGGUGAAAUGCGUAGAGAUGUGGAGGAACACCGAUGGCGAAGGCAGCCUUCUGGGCCAACACUGACGCUCAUGCACGAAAGCGUGGGGAGCAAACAGGAUUAGAUACCCCCGUAGUCC
RNAcentral lists this ribosomal RNA (449 nucleotides) under uncultured bacterium. Its description in RNAcentral is "bacterial SSU rRNA". It matches the Rfam family "Bacterial small subunit ribosomal RNA", at positions 355 to 796 of the family's 1533-position model. The record is from RNAcentral.